RNAcentral lists this transfer RNA (81 nucleotides) under Caligus rogercresseyi. RNAcentral's name for it is "tRNA-Ser". Lineage: Eukaryota; Metazoa; Arthropoda; Copepoda; Siphonostomatoida; Caligidae. The record is from RNAcentral.
ACACAAAACAGAUUCGAACCUACGCUCCCAGAGGGAAUCUGAUUUCUAGUCGGACGCCUUAACCACUCGGCCACGACUGCU